Molecule: ribosomal RNA, 301 nt
Filed under: uncultured bacterium
Lineage: Bacteria
Description: partial 16S ribosomal RNA
Rfam family: Bacterial small subunit ribosomal RNA
Source: RNAcentral
CAGCCGCCGCGGUAAUACGUAGGGUGCAAGCGUUAAUCGGAAUUACUGGGCGUAAAGCGUGCGCAGGCGGUUAUAUAAGACAGAUGUGAAAUCCCCGGGCUCAACCUGGGAACUGCAUUUGUGACUGUAUAGCUAGAGUACGGCAGAGGGGGAUGGAAUUCCGCGUGUAGCAGUGAAAUGCGUAGAUAUGCGGAGGAACACCGAUGGCGAAGGCAAUCCCCUGGGCCUGUACUGACGCUCAUGCACGAAAGCGUGAGGAGCAAACAGGAUUAGAUACCCCCGUAGUCCCUGUCUCUUAUAC